RNAcentral lists this ribosomal RNA (440 nucleotides) under uncultured bacterium. RNAcentral describes it as "partial 16S ribosomal RNA". It matches the Rfam family "Bacterial small subunit ribosomal RNA", at positions 338 to 795 of the family's 1533-position model. The record is from RNAcentral.
CCUACGGGAGGCAGCAGUGGGGAAUAUUGCACAAUGGGGGAAACCCUGAUGCAGCGACGCCGCGUGGGUGAAGAAGCGCCUCGGCGCGUAAAGCCCUGUCAGCAGGGAAGAAAAUGACGGUACCUGAAGAAGAAGCCCCGGCUAACUACGUGCCAGCAGCCGCGGUAAUACGUAGGGGGCAAGCAUUAUCCGGAUUUACUGGGGGUAAAGGGGGCGCAGACGGCGAUGCAAGCCAGGAGUGAAAGCCCGGGGCCCAACCCCGGGACUGCUCUUGGAACUGCGUGGCUAGAGUGCAGGAGGGGGAGGCGGAAGGCCUGGGGUAGCGGUGAAAUGCGUAGAGAGCAGGAGGAACACCGGUGGCGAGGGCGGCCUGCUGGACUGCAACGGACGUUGAGGCCCGAAGGCGUGGGGAGCAAACAGGAUUAGAGACCCCUGUAGUC